Molecule: ribosomal RNA, 1008 nt
Filed under: Proteus sp. (in: enterobacteria)
Lineage: Bacteria; Pseudomonadati; Pseudomonadota; Gammaproteobacteria; Enterobacterales; Morganellaceae
Description: bacterial SSU rRNA
Rfam family: Bacterial small subunit ribosomal RNA
Source: RNAcentral
UUUAUGCAUAGAUGCGCAGCUACCAUGCAGUCGAGCGGUAACACGAGAAGCUUUGCUCUUCUUGCUCAAAGCCGCGGAGGGUGAAUUAUGUAUGGGGAUCUGCCCGAUAGAGGGGGAUCUCCACUGGAAACGGUGGCUAAUACCGCAUGUCGUCUACGGAAAAAAGCGGGGGCUCUUCGGACCUUGCGCUAUCGGAUGAACCCAUAUGGGAUUAUCUAGGGUGUGGGGUAAGGGCUCCCCUGCGACACUAUCUCUAUGUGGUCUGAGAAGAUGAUCCCCCACUCUGGGACUGAGACACGGCCCACACUCCUACGGGGGGCAGCUGUGGGGAAUAUUGCACAGUGGGCGCAAGCCUGAUGCCCCCAUGCCGCGUGUAUGAAAAGCGCCUUGGGGUUGUAAAGUAUUUUCCGCGGGGAGGAAGGUGAUAAAGUUUAUACCUUUUGCAUUUGACUUCACCCGCAAAAAAAACACCGGCUAUCUCCGUGCCCACCGCCGCUAUAAUACAGAGGGCGCAAGCUUUUCUCAAUAUCACUGGGCGUAACGCGCACGCGCGCUGUCAAUUAAGUCAUAUGUGAUAGCCCCGAUCUUCACUGGAACAUUGCAUCUGACUCUGGUUGGCUAGAGUCUUGUAGAGGGGUGUAAAAUUCCAUGUGUAGCUGUGAUAUGUAUAUAUAUGUAGAAGAAUACCUGUGGAGAGCGCCGCCCCCUGGACACACACUGACUCUCGCGUGCGAGAGCGUGGGAGAACAAACGAUAUUAUAUACUCGUAUACUCCACGCUAUACAAUGUGUACAUUUUAGAUGGUUGUGCUCUUGAACCUGUGACUUCUGCAGCUAACGCGAUAAUCUCCACCGCCUGGAGUACUACCGCCGCAGUGUAUACAACUCAGAUGAAUUGACGGAGCCGCCCGCACCAGCGGUAGAUGCAUGGUGUUAUUAAUUUCGAUGCGACGACGAAGCAUCCUCUACCUACUUCUUGACCUCGCGAGAGACCUCCAUUUAAAAAUAU